This 360-nucleotide ribosomal RNA is filed under the name Escherichia coli. RNAcentral's name for it is "partial 23S ribosomal RNA". It matches the Rfam family "Bacterial large subunit ribosomal RNA", at positions 717 to 1074 of the family's 2925-position model. The record is from RNAcentral. Lineage: Bacteria; Pseudomonadati; Pseudomonadota; Gammaproteobacteria; Enterobacterales; Enterobacteriaceae.
GAAACCCGGUGAUCUAGCCAUGGGCAGGUUGAAGGUUGGGUAACACUAACUGGAGGACCGAACCGACUAAUGUUGAAAAAUUAGCGGAUGACUUGUGGCUGGGGGUGAAAGGCCAAUCAAACCGGGAGAUAGCUGGUUCUCCCCGAAAGCUAUUUAGGUAGCGCCUCGUGAAUUCAUCUCCGGGGGUAGAGCACUGUUUCGGCAAGGGGGUCAUCCCGACUUACCAACCCGAUGCAAACUGCGAAUACCGGAGAAUGUUAUCACGGGAGACACACGGCGGGUGCUAACGUCCGUCGUGAAGAGGGAAACAACCCAGACCGCCAGCUAAGGUCCCAAAGUCAUGGUUAAGUGGGAAACGAU